GACAGAGGGUGCAAACGUUGUUCGGAAUUACUGGGCGUAAAGCGUGUGUAGGCGGCCAAGCAAGUCGGAUGUGAAAUCCCACGGCUCAACCGUGGAAGUGCAUUCGAAACUGCAGGGCUAGAGUCCUGGAGAGGAAGGUGGAAUGCUUGGUGUAGAGGUGAAAUUCGUAGAUAUCAAGCGGAACACCGGUGGCGAAGGCGGCCUUCUGGACAGUGACUGACGCUGAGACGCGAAAGCGUGGGGAGCAAACAGG
This 253-nucleotide ribosomal RNA is filed under the name uncultured bacterium. RNAcentral's name for it is "partial 16S ribosomal RNA". It matches the Rfam family "Bacterial small subunit ribosomal RNA", at positions 524 to 776 of the family's 1533-position model. The record is from RNAcentral.